RNAcentral lists this ribosomal RNA (505 nucleotides) under uncultured bacterium. RNAcentral's name for it is "bacterial SSU rRNA". It matches the Rfam family "Bacterial small subunit ribosomal RNA", at positions 8 to 518 of the family's 1533-position model. The record is from RNAcentral.
AGAGUUUGAUUCUGGCUCAGGAUGAACGCUGGCGGCGUGCUUAACACAUGCAAGUCGAACGGAGCUUAGAAGGAAGCUUGCUUUCAUUUAAGCUUAGUGGCGGACGGGUGAGUAACGCGUGAGCAACCUGCCCUCGAGUGGGGAAUAACAUCGAGAAAUCGGUGCUAAUACCGCAUAAAGUCGAGAGACCGCAUGAUCUUUCGACCAAAGGAUUUAUUCGCUUGAGGAUGGGCUCGCGUCCGAUUAGCUAGUUGGUGAGGUAACGGCCCACCAAGGCAACGAUCGGUAGCCGAACUGAGAGGUUGAUCGGCCACAUUGGGACUGAGACACGGCCCAGACUCCUACGGGAGGCAGCAGUGGGGAAUAUUGGGCAAUGGGCGAAAGCCCUGACCCAGCAACGCCGCGUGAAGGGUGAAGGUCUUCGGAUUGUAAACUUCUUUGAUUGGGGAAGAAUAAAUGACCUACCCAAAGAACAAGCCACGGCUAACUACGUGCCAGCAGCGGC